AGCGCACACGGUGGAUGCCUAGGCGGUCAGAGGCGAUGAAGGACGUGGUAGCCUGCGAAAAGUGUCGGGGAGCUGGCAACAAGCUUUGAUCCGGCAAUAUCCGAAUGGGGAAACCCACUGCUUCGGCAGUAUCUUGCAGUGAAUUCAUAGCUGCUUGAAGCGAACCCGGUGAACUGAAAUAUCUAAGUAACCGGAGGAAAAGAAAUCAACCGAGAUUCCCUGAGUAGUGACGAGCGAACGGGGAACAGCCCUUAAGCUGGAAUGGCUUUAGAAAAACAAUCUGGAAAGAUUGGCCAUAGAAGGUGAUAGCCCUGUAUUUAAAAGGGCCACUCCAGUGAAGACGAGUAGGGCGGGGCACGUGAAACCCUGUCUGAAUAUGGGGGGACCAUCCUCCAAGGCUAAAUACUCCUGACCGACCGAUAGUGAACCAGUACCGUGAGGGAAAGGCGAAAAGAACCCCGGAGAGGGGAGUGAAAUAGAUCCUGAAACCGUGUGCGUACAAGCAGUAGGAGCUCGCAAGAGUGACUGCGUACCUUUUGUAUAAUGGGUCAGCGACUUACUGUUCGUGGCAAGCUUAACCGUAUAGGGGAGGCGAAGGGAAACCGAGUCUGAUAAGGGCGCAUAGUCGCGGGCAGUAGACCCGAAACCGGGUGAUCUAGUCAUGGCCAGGGUGAAGGUGCCGUAACAGGUACUGGAGGCCCGAACCCACGUCUGUUGCAAAAGACGGGGAUGAGCUGUGAUUAGGAGUGAAAAGCUAAUCGAACCCGGAGAUAGCUGGUUCUCCUCGAAAGCUAUUUAGGUAGCGCCUCGGACGAAUACUACUGGGGGUAGAGCACUGUUAUGGCUAGGGGGUCAUCGCGACUUACCAAACCAUUGCAAACUCCGAAUACCAGUAAGUACUAUCCGGGAGACACACGGCGGGUGCUAACGUCCGUCGUGAAAAGGGAAACAACCCAGACCCACAGCUAAGGUCCCAAAUUCACUGCUAAGUGGAAAACGAUGUGGAAAGGCAUAGACAGCCAGGAGGUUGGCUUAGAAGCAGCCACCCUUUAAAGAAAGCGUAAUAGCUCACUGGUCGAGUCGGUCUGCGCGGAAGAUUUAACGGGGCUAAGCAGUGAACCGAAGCUUGGGGUGCGUAAAACUUCGGUUUUAUGCGCGGUAGAGGAGCGUUCCGUAAGCCUGCGAAGGUGGAUUGAGAAGUCUGCUGGAGGUAUCGGAAGUGCGAAUGCUGACAUGAGUAACGAUAAUGCGGGUGAAAAGCCCGCACGCCGAAAGCCCAAGGUUUCCUUGCGCAACGUUAAUCGACGCAGGGUUAGUCGGUCCCUAAGGCGAGGGCGAAAGCCGUAGUCGAUGGGAAGCAGGUUAAUAUUCCUGCACCUCGCGUGAGUGCGAUGGAGGGACGGAGAAGGUUAGGUGUACCGGGCGUUGGUUGUCCCGGGGAAAGGCGGUAGGUUUGGAUCUUUGGCAAAUCCGGGAUCCUUUAAGACCGAGCACCGAGACGAGCCUUUAUGGCGAAGUCACUGAUACCACGCUUCCAGGAAAAGCUCCUAAGCUUCAGCUCACGAAGACCGUACCGUAAACCGACACAGGUGGGUAGGAUGAGAAUUCUCAGGCGCUUGAGAGAACUCGGGUGAAGGAACUAGGCAACAUGGCACCGUAACUUCGGGAGAAGGUGCACCCUUUUUGGUGGCUCAUGCGAGCUAUAGCUGAAGAGGGUCGCAGAAACCAGGCCGCUGCGACUGUUUAUCAAAAACACAGCACUCUGCAAACACGAAAGUGGACGUAUAGGGUGUGACGCCUGCCCGGUGCUGGAAGGUUAAUUGAUGGGGUCAGCCGCAAGGCGAAGCUCUUGAUCGAAGCCCCAGUAAACGGCGGCCGUAACUAUAACGGUCCUAAGGUAGCGAAAUUCCUUGUCGGGUAAGUUCCGACCUGCACGAAUGGCGUAACGACAGCGGCGCUGUCUCCACCCGAGACUCAGUGAAAUUGAAAUCGCUGUGAAGAUGCAGCGUUCCCGUGGCAAGACGGAAAGACCCCGUGAACCUUUACUAUAGCUUUACACUGAACGUUGAGUUCGUCUGUGUAGGAUAGGUGGGAGGCUAUGAAACUGUGGCGCUAGCUGCAGUGGAGCCAACCUUGAAAUACCACCCUGUCGUGCUUGACGUUCUAACCUAGAUCCGUUAUCCGGAUCAGGGACCGUGUAUGGUGGGUAGUUUGACUGGGGCGGUCUCCUCCUAAAGAGUAACGGAGGAGCACGAAGGUACGCUCAGCGCGGUCGGACAUCGCGCACUGUGUGCAAAGGCAUAAGCGUGCUUGACUGCAAGAUCGACGGAUCAAGCAGGUACGAAAGUAGGUCUUAGUGAUCCGGUGGUUCUGUAUGGAAGGGCCAUCGCUCAACGGAUAAAAGGUACUCCGGGGAUAACAGGCUGAUACCGCCCAAGAGUUCAUAUCGACGGCGGUGUUUGGCACCUCGAUGUCGGCUCAUCACAUCCUGGGGCUGUAGUCGGUCCCAAGGGUAUGGCUGUUCGCCAUUUAAAGUGGUACGCGAGCUGGGUUCAGAACGUCGUGAGACAGUUCGGUCCCUAUCUGCCAUGGGCGUUGGAAGUUUGAGAGGGGCUGCUCCUAGUACGAGAGGACCGGAGUGGACGAACCUCUGGUGUUCCGGUUGUCACGCCAGUGGCAUUGCCGGGUAGCUAUGUUCGGAAGCGAUAACCGCUGAAAGCAUCUAAGCGGGAAGCGCGCCUCAAGAUGAGACUUCCCGGGGCACAAGCCCCCUAAAGGAACCAUAUAGACUAUGUGGUUGAUAGGUCAGGUGUGUAAGUACAGCAAUGUAUUGAGCUAACUGAUACUAAUGAUCCGUGCGGCUUGACC
RNAcentral lists this ribosomal RNA (2868 nucleotides) under Xanthomonas campestris pv. campestris str. CN14. RNAcentral describes it as "bacterial LSU rRNA". It matches the Rfam family "Bacterial large subunit ribosomal RNA". The record is from RNAcentral. RNAcentral also lists the same sequence under 2 other names. Lineage: Bacteria; Pseudomonadati; Pseudomonadota; Gammaproteobacteria; Lysobacterales; Lysobacteraceae.